RNAcentral lists this long non-coding RNA (559 nucleotides) under Dasypus novemcinctus (nine-banded armadillo). Its description in RNAcentral is "lncRNA (ENSDNOG00000050818.1)". The record is from RNAcentral. Lineage: Eukaryota; Metazoa; Chordata; Mammalia; Cingulata; Dasypodidae.
UUAAUGCUAAAACAAUGGUUUAUUUUCCCAGGGAAUUCUUCGUUUUGCUAGCCUUCUUCAGAGUGACUUGGGUUUCAGAUCAUUUCUUCCCCAUCUACAAGCAGCGCCAGGUGAGCUGGAUGACAGUUCCCUUCGAUGUGCUGAAGCAGGCUGCCUGACUCAUCUUUGCUCUUCCAGAGUUCCCUACCCUCUGGAAAUUAAAACUUUACAUCUUCCGGGAAGUGGAUGUGGCUCAACUGAUAGAGCGUCCAUCUACAACAUGGAGGCUCCAGGGUUUGAUCCCCAGGGCCUCCUGACCCAUGUGGUGAGCUGGCCCAUGUGCAGUGCUGCUGCUGUGUGCAAGGAGUGCCAUGCCAUGCAGGGGUGCCCCAUGCGCAAGGUGUGCGCCCCGCAAGGACAGCCGACCCAUGUGAAAAAGCGCAGCCCACCCAGGAGUGGCACCACACACACGGAGAGCUGACACAGCAAGAUGACACGACAAAAAAGAGAUGCAGUUUCCCCAGUGCCGCCAGAUAAUGUAAGCGGAUGCAGAAGAACACACAGUGUAUGGACACAGAGA